UACGUAGGGUGCGAGCGUUGUCCGGAAUUAUUGGGCGUAAAGGGCUCGUAGGUGGUUUGUCACGUCGGGAGUGAAAACUCAGGGCUUAACCCUGAGCCUGCUUCCGAUACGGGCAGACUAGAGGUAUGCAGGGGAGAACGGAAUUCCUGGUGUAGCGGUGAAAUGCGUAGAUAUCUGGAGGAACACCGGUGGCGAAGGCGGCAUCCUGGACCGGUAUUGACGCUGAGGCGCGAAAGCUAGGGGAGCAAACGGG
RNAcentral lists this ribosomal RNA (253 nucleotides) under uncultured bacterium. RNAcentral's name for it is "partial 16S ribosomal RNA". It matches the Rfam family "Bacterial small subunit ribosomal RNA", at positions 524 to 776 of the family's 1533-position model. The record is from RNAcentral.